This 207-nucleotide ribosomal RNA is filed under the name uncultured bacterium. RNAcentral describes it as "partial 16S ribosomal RNA". It matches the Rfam family "Bacterial small subunit ribosomal RNA", at positions 568 to 774 of the family's 1533-position model. The record is from RNAcentral.
CUCGUAGGCGGUUUGUCGCGUCGGGAGUGAAAACCACGGGCUUAACUCAUGGCUUGCUUCCGAUACGGGCAGACUAGAGGCAUGCAGGGGAGAACGGAAUUCCUGGUGUAGCGGUGAAAUGCGCAGAUAUCAGGAGGAACACCGGUGGCGAAGACGGUUCUCUGGGCAUGUCCUGACGCUGAGGAGCGAAAGUGUGGGGAGCGAACA